UACGUAGGCAGCGAGCGUUGUUCGGAAUUACUGGGCGUAAAGAGUGUGUAGGCGGUGCUCCCAGUCUGUUGUGAAAUCUCCCGGCUUAACUGGGAGGGUGCAGCGGAAACUAGAGUGCUAGAGGGUGGGAGAGGUAAGCGGAAUUCCUGGUGUAGCGGUGAAAUGCGCAGAUAUCAGGAGGAACACCGGUGGCGAAGGCGGAUCUCUGGGCCAUUACUGACGCUGAGGAGCGAAAGCGUGGGGAGCGAACAGG
This 253-nucleotide ribosomal RNA is filed under the name uncultured bacterium. Its description in RNAcentral is "partial 16S ribosomal RNA". It matches the Rfam family "Bacterial small subunit ribosomal RNA", at positions 524 to 776 of the family's 1533-position model. The record is from RNAcentral.